UACGGAGGGGGCUAGCGUUGUUCGGAAUUACUGGGCGUAAAGCGCACGUAGGCGGCUUUGUAAGUUAGAGGUGAAAGCCCGGGGGCUCAACUCCGGAAUUGCCUUUAAGACUGCAUCGCUAGAAUUGUGGAGAGGUGAGUGGAAUUCCGAGUGUAGAGGUGAAAUUCGUAGAUAUUCGGAAGAACACCAGUGGCGAAGGCGGCUCACUGGACCGGCAUUGACGCUGAGGUGCGAAAGCGUGGGGAGCAAACAGG
This 254-nucleotide ribosomal RNA is filed under the name uncultured bacterium. RNAcentral's name for it is "partial 16S ribosomal RNA". It matches the Rfam family "Bacterial small subunit ribosomal RNA", at positions 524 to 776 of the family's 1533-position model. The record is from RNAcentral.